This 253-nucleotide ribosomal RNA is filed under the name uncultured bacterium. Its description in RNAcentral is "partial 16S ribosomal RNA". It matches the Rfam family "Bacterial small subunit ribosomal RNA", at positions 524 to 776 of the family's 1533-position model. The record is from RNAcentral.
UACGUAGGGUGCAAGCGUUAUCCGGAAUUAUUGGGCGUAAAGAGCUCGUAGGCGGUUUGUCGCGUCUGCUGUGAAAACGCGGGGCUCAACUCCGCGCCUGCAGUGGGUACGGGCAGACUAGAGUGCAGUAGGGGAGACUGGAAUUCCUGGUGUAGCGGUGGAAUGCGCAGAUAUCAGGAGGAACACCGGUGGCGAAGGCGGGUCUCUGGGCUGUAACUGACGCUGAGGAGCGAAAGCGUGGGUAGCGAACAGG